RNAcentral lists this ribosomal RNA (497 nucleotides) under uncultured bacterium. RNAcentral describes it as "partial 16S ribosomal RNA". It matches the Rfam family "Bacterial small subunit ribosomal RNA", at positions 28 to 507 of the family's 1533-position model. The record is from RNAcentral.
GAUGAACGCUGGCGGCGUGCCUAAUACAUGCAAGUCGAGCGAACAGACGAGGAGCUUGCUCCUCUGACGUUAGCGGCGGACGGGUGAGUAACACGUGGAUAACCUACCUAUAAGACGGGGAUAACUUCGGGAAACCGGAGCUAAUACCGGAUAAUAUAUUGAACCGCAGGGUUCAAUAGUGAAAGACGGUUUUGCCGUCACUUAUAGAUGGAUCCGCGUCGCAUUAGCUAGGUGGUAAGGUAACGGCUUACCAAGGCGACGAUGCGUAGCCGACCUGAGAGGGUGAUCGGCCACACUGGAACUGAGACACGGUCCAGACUCCUACGGGAGGCAGCAGUAGGGAAUCUUCCGCAAUGGGCGCAAGCUUGACGCAGCAACGCCGCGUGAGUGAUGAAGGUCUUCGGAUCGUAAAACUCUGUUAUUAGGGAAGAACAACUGUGUAAGUAACUAUGCACGUCUUGACGGUACCUAAUCAGAAAGCCACGGCUAACUACGUG